RNAcentral lists this ribosomal RNA (468 nucleotides) under uncultured bacterium. Its description in RNAcentral is "partial 16S ribosomal RNA". It matches the Rfam family "Bacterial small subunit ribosomal RNA", at positions 28 to 507 of the family's 1533-position model. The record is from RNAcentral.
GACGAACGCUGGCGGCGUGCUUAACACAUGCAAGUCGAACGGAAAGGCCCUGCUUUUGUGGGGUGCUCGAGUGGCGAACGGGUGAGUAACACGUGAGUAACCUGCCCUUGACUUUGGGGUAACUUCAGGAAACUGGGGCUAAUACCGGAUAGGAGCUCCUGCUGCAUGGUGGGGGUUGGAAAGUUUCGGCGGUUGGGGAUGGACUCGCGGCUUAUCAGCUUGUUGGUGGGGUAGUGGCUUACCAAGGCUUUGACGGGUAGCCGGCCUGAGAGGGUGACCGGCCACAUUGGGACUGAGAUACGGCCCAGACUCCUACGGGAGGCAGCAGUGUGGAAUAUUGCACAAUGGGCGGAAGCCUGAUGCAGCAACGCCGCGUGCGGGAUGACGGCCUUCGGGUUGUAAACCGCUUUCGCCUGUGACGAAGCGUGAGUGACGGUAAUGGGUAAAGAAGCACCGGCUAACUACGUG